Long non-coding RNA from Prinia subflava (tawny-flanked prinia), 1521 nucleotides. RefSeq lists it as uncharacterized. The record is from RefSeq and is a predicted model, not a curated record. The transcript is spliced from 3 exons. NCBI's taxonomy places the organism in Eukaryota, Metazoa, Chordata, Aves, Passeriformes, Cisticolidae.
GGGGCGGAAGAGAUUUUUUUUUUUUUUUGAGAUCGUGGAGUCCCACCGUCAAGGCGGCAUUGCCACUGUAACCCUAACGUCGAAACCUCUGAACUCCUAAAGCACAUCGCCCAGCGCGAAAUCCAGGCGCCUCUUAAAACACCCCCAGGGUUAGUGACUCCACCAGCUCCCUCAGCAGGCCGUUCCAAUGUAUGACCAGCAGAGCAGUGAAAAAAGCUUUUUUUUCUGCUAUCUAAUCACAAUCUCCCCUGCCUCAGUUUGAGGCUCCCUCACUGCAGGCAGGGUAGAAGAGGCCGCACUAAAUCGGAGAGGGCGAUGAUGUUCCCCCUCAGUGCUUCCAGGCUAAGCUGCCCCAGGUCCCUCAGGUGCUCCUCAUCAAACGAGUGUGGAGAAAUUACGAUUUUUGGGGUUGCCAGAAGGUCCCUUUUAGUAGGCCCUUCGUGCUGAAUGUUAACUACAAAACACAACUUUUUUUUUCUUUUUGCUACUAAACCAGGACUGAUUCAAGGUCAUGACACACUUUAUUUUUUUUCCUCCUCGUAUGAUUUGACAGAUGAAUGUGUAAUCACCUUCAGUGCUGUGACUGUGUGGCCGCAGUGAAUGGCUUGAAAAAGUCUUGGAAAGGACUCCAAGGAUGCAAAUUUCCUGACCUGUGCAGCAGACAUAAGAACAAAAAUACCUUAAUAAACCCAAGAUUUAUUGCUACUACAGCUACUGGUGCUAACAAUUGUUAUGUUUGCUCCCUCAGGCCUCUGCCCAGGGAAAGGUUCCCUCAGGAAAACCGUCAGAGCUGCUGCUCCCAAACACCCUCUGCUUAGGCAGGUCUUCCUCAGCUAUAACCUCAGGUUUGAAGUGCUAAGACUUGGGAGGAAAGGAAGAUGAUACUUCCCAGAUCCAGUAAGGCACAGCUGAAAAAAUGUCGAAUGAAAGACCAGAAGAAUGCUGUGGGGCACAGAAGCCAUGAGAAGCUGUAGGUGAUAGGCUGAGGAUUCCCAGUCUGUUGUGUGGAGUCAGCAAGGUACAUAAAGUUAAUUCCCUUCCCUGGGGAUAGGAAGAUUGGAACACUCACCUAUGCCCUGGCAAUUGCCUCGGAGCUUUCAAAAUGGUGAGUCAGCUGGAGCCAGCAGUUCCAUGCCUUUUUUUCUUCCUAAGACUAUGAAAGUCUCACACAUCCUACAAGAUGUGUGAGCUACAUACAAGCUACAUCCUCCAAAACCUCUUUCUUGUGCAGAGACCUUCCCUGCUGCAUCAACAUAACCUGCAUGUAUCACUGGUGGGGAACUACUGUAGGGGAGAGGUGAGGGUGGAUGUGUUCAGUGAAAGCUGAGAGAUAACAUGGAGAUGAACCAUGACCAAUGCUCUAUGCUUGUCUAAAUUAUCUAGAAAACAUUCUGGAGAAAUGUGUUUGGUCUCUUGAUUGCAUCUAUUCAAUAUAAUCUCUCUAGGUAUUAUGUCAGUGCAUAAGCUCUCAAGUAUUAACAUUUAUGCAGACCUUCUCACUGAUGCAUUAAUCCUGCUGCA